GACCGACAGAUGUUAGGAAGAAGACAGAGAGGGUUAGGGAAGAUGAUUGUUUUUUCAUUUUGUUUUAAUGCAAAUUGAGGUAUAUUUUUUAAGUAUAAUUUUUUCCCCAAAGACAUAACACGUGUCACACAUUGAUUGGAGUGUGUAAUGCAAUCUCUAAGAAGAAGUGGUUAAUCCCAAAAGUAGUGUGUUAUAGGCACACUUUGGAAAGGUUGAGUGUGUAUGGUAAUUUUCCUCCGCAAAAAUGUGUAAGAGGGAUUUGGUCCAUAGUUCGAGUGGUAACUUAUGUAUUUUGCCAUCCAAAUUCUAUAACAUUGCAUGGUAAGAAUUAAACAAUGGAAAAUUAUCAAAUUUUGCUUCAAAGGAAACAGUUCCGAAAACUUCAAAUUACCUGACUUCCAUAAUACAUAAAUUACAUCCCAAUUUGAACUAAAUUAUACAAUACUGUACUUAAUGAAGCAUGAAUCAAAGAGGAAUUAUAAAUUUACAAGGCCCUAAUAAAUUAAAACUAACUGAUGAUGUGAAUAACACUGCCAUCUAUUCAAUUUCCAAAUCAAGAUGCCAACCUUUGGAUUUGAACUUGUACCAAAUGGACUUCAAUUGGUUCCAAUAGUUAUUUAUUAACCUGGACACCAUACCUUUAGCAUCUAAUCAAUGACAACAAAAAGCUAGUCUAAGAUUUGCGAAGAAAAGAGCUAAAUAUGACAUAGAGAUCUCUUAUAAUUAAAGAGAGUGAUUCAGUGACAAAAAUUAGAUUCUGAAAUAAAAAAAAAACAUAGCUGAACCAUCAGCAUCUAGACCCUUUUUCUUUUAACAACCUUUAAAAUCUAACCUUGAUUUAUGGCUUGCAACAGUCAGAUCCGCAAGACUUUAACCAAGUUAUUAGCCAACAAGCACUUUCUAUCCUUCAAAACCAAAAAAAAAUUGCCAUGCUCAAAACAGCUUGCUCAUGACCAAGAUUCUACUAUGGCUUGAAACCAAAGAAAAUACCAACAACAAACCAAACAAACAUAUUUCUGAAAGAAACAAGAAGAAGAUCACUACAUGAUGGCAUGUUUUAAAACAACAUACAUAACACUAAUAAACUGUUCCCAUUUGUUUUAUUACUUUAACCAUUACUCAAACACAAAACAAAGCAGGUUUGGAGCUUUGAAUCAGCCAAAAAUCCAAAGAAAAUCACCACAAAAAAAAACAGAAUCUGACUUCAUUCAUACUUAAAGUUCAAGGAAAUCAGCUUCUAUUCAAAAUACAACUUAAAAUCAAGCAUACAAAGUUCAGAAAAAUACCUAUAAAAGAAAAUGGGACAAACAACUCAAAGAAAGAAGAAGUCUGCAGCAGCUCAGCUCAAAUCGAACAGCAGUGAAUUCAAGAAACAAAGUUUUGUUUCAGCUUUAGGAAACCCCAGCAAAUGACUCCAAAAACGGCCAGAAGUAGAAAAAUUUUCUUCAGAAUUUUUUGGAAAAAAGAACUGAUUUAAGCCGUUUGUAUUUUUUCACUCCUUUUUUCUGUGCCCUAAUGAUUGGAAAGAGGGUCUUUUAUAGGGAAAAUUAGGGCAGCAAAUUAGAUUUUCUUAAUUCUAUACCACCUCUCU
This 1591-nucleotide long non-coding RNA is filed under the name Nicotiana tabacum (common tobacco). Its description in RNAcentral is "long non-coding RNA (NTAB_LNC003017)". The record is from RNAcentral. Lineage: Eukaryota; Viridiplantae; Streptophyta; Magnoliopsida; Solanales; Solanaceae.